Molecule: long non-coding RNA, 921 nt
Organism: Branchiostoma belcheri (Belcher's lancelet)
Lineage: Eukaryota; Metazoa; Chordata; Leptocardii; Amphioxiformes; Branchiostomatidae
Exons: 3
Source: RefSeq, a predicted model, not a curated record
AUUAGAAAAUAUAAACAGUUUACUUUUUACUUCAAGUUGAACACACAAGUUUUAGAUACGAAAUUGUGAAAAUGCCAAUCCACUAAAUGUAGCUACAUGGGGAUUGAACGCACUUAUUCCGCACUUAUUCAUAAAAUUAUUAGUAGUUACUAGUAUGUCUGUAACCAAUAUUAUAUACAUCUUGCAUCUAGUAAUAGCCUUCGGGUAGGUUGAUACCUGUGUCAUUUAACAUCGUGCUUUCGGAAUAUAUAGAUUUCGGAAUAUAGAGAUUUUGGAACAUAGAGAUAUCGGAACAUAGAGAUUUCGGAACAUAGGUCUGUAAUAGGGUAACAAAAUAAUGAACAUUUGUCUACAUGUCAGUUAUAGGUGUGUAAUCGUAUAAAUAUAAUAGGGUGACAAAAUAAUGAACAUUUGUCUACAAGUCAGUUAUAGGUGUGCAAUUGUAUAAAUAUAAUAGGGCGACAAAAUAAUGAACAUUUGUCUACAAGUCUGUUAUAGGUGUGUAAUCGUAUAAAUAUAAUAGGGUGACAAAAUAAUGAACAUUUGUCUACAAAUCGGUUAGCCUGGAUGCUAGACCCUGGCAUUUCAUAGUGAUAACAGAUAAGUGAUAGGUCAAUUGUCCAGCUGCAGGUCCUGCAGUUUCAAGCAUUGAAAGCCCAACCCCUCCUCACGACAGAUAAGUGAUAGGUCAGUUGUCCAGCUGCAAGUCCUGCAGUUUCAAGCAUAGAAACCCUAACCCCUCCUCACGACAGAUAAGUGAUAGGUCAGUUGUCCAGCUGCAAGUCCUGCAGUUUCAAGCAGAGAAACCCUAACCUCACGACAGAUAAGUGAUAGGUCAGUUGUCCAGCUGCAAGUCCUGCAGUUUCAAGCAUAGAAAGUCCAACCCCUCCUCACGACAGAUAAGUGAUAGGUCAGUUGUCC